Molecule: long non-coding RNA, 202 nt
Filed under: Physcomitrium patens
Lineage: Eukaryota; Viridiplantae; Streptophyta; Bryopsida; Funariales; Funariaceae
Description: long non-coding RNA (PPAT_LNC005902)
Source: RNAcentral
UGGACUAUGGUAGACAAUGAUAAGGGGCAAUAAAGUACAAUAACUUCAUAGGAAGGUGUGGUAGUUGAUGGCAAGGUGCGACAAAUGGUGGCAAGGCAUGAAAGUUUGAUAGCAAGGUGUGACAAAUGACGGUAAGGCAUGAAAGUUCAAUAGAUAGGUAUGGCAAUUGGUGACAAGGUACGGCAGUUUGGCAGUAGUGUGC